This 70-nucleotide transfer RNA is filed under the name Ixodes scapularis (black-legged tick). RNAcentral's name for it is "tRNA-Ala". Lineage: Eukaryota; Metazoa; Arthropoda; Arachnida; Ixodida; Ixodidae. The record is from RNAcentral.
CUUGCGUGGCCUAGUCGGAAGCGUGUUUGGCUCGCAACCGAAGGGUCGUGAGUACAAAUCCCACCUAAAA